CCUUGCUGAACUACAGCUUCGAGAACCAAGCUUUCCUGAUGUUCAACAUGGUGUGCUCAUCCAUAAAGUCAUCCUGGACUCCCCUGCACACCGGGCUGGUCUGCGGCCAGGUGAUGUGAUCUUGGCCAUUGGGGAGAAGGUGGUACAAAAUGCUGAAGAUAUUUAUGAAGCUGUUCGAACCCAAUCCCAGCUGGCAGUGCGGAUCCGGCGGGGACCGGAAACAUUGACUUUAUAUGUGACCCCUGAAAUCACAGAAUGAAUGGAUUAACAAGAGAAUGGGGCUCCUGCUCUGAUUUCCACCUUGCUUUCCUGGCCUAGGCUCUGAGGGCACCUGGACAGAGGAUUAAAGGAGCCAGUGGGGGGCCGGUCCCUCCAACCACCAGCACCAAUCCCUGGGCUCUGAGGAAUCACAAAAACAUUUUUUAUAUAAAAUAAAAUUAUACCUAGCAAAAAAAAAAA
Myotis brandtii (Brandt's bat) is the source of this 459-nucleotide long non-coding RNA. RefSeq lists it as uncharacterized. Lineage: Eukaryota; Metazoa; Chordata; Mammalia; Chiroptera; Vespertilionidae. The record is from RefSeq and is a predicted model, not a curated record. The transcript is spliced from 2 exons.